This 407-nucleotide ribosomal RNA is filed under the name uncultured bacterium. Its description in RNAcentral is "bacterial SSU rRNA". It matches the Rfam family "Bacterial small subunit ribosomal RNA", at positions 29 to 445 of the family's 1533-position model. The record is from RNAcentral.
AUUGAACGCUGGCGGCAUGGCUAAAACAUGCAAGUCGAACGUGCCCGCAAGGGCAAGUGGCGAAAGGGUCAGUAAUGCGAUCGAACGUACCCUGAGGGCGGGGGAGUAGGGCGAGGGAAACUUGCCAUAACUACCCCAUGAUGUCUACGGACCAAAGGCCAAACCUUAAAAUUGGGCACCUUGGGAGCGGCGAUCGUCCUAUCAGCUAGUUGGCGGGGUAACGGCCCACCAAGGCGAAGACGGGUAGCAGGUGUGAGAGCACGACCUGCGACAUCGGAACUGAGACACUGUCCGGACUCCUACGGGAGGCUGCAGUAACGAAUCUUCCGCAAUGGGCGAAAGCCUGACGGAGCAAUGCCGCGUGUGGGAUGAAGCGGCUACGCCGUGUAAACCACUGUCGAGGGGGC